UCAAAACCGAUGAAGGAAAAAAGACCCUUGAAUGCCUCCAGAGAGCCGGUGGUUGGUGCAAACCGGUGGCGGGCAAGACGUCUUCAGCGUUCCAGAGAAGCUGCAUUGAACUUUACAGUAGGUGCAGCCGGGUAAUUUCCGUUAUCAAAUAGGCCUCUAUCGGGCCUCUGAGGCUGCCGGCGUCAAAUCCGGCGGUGAAUUAGGGUGGUACCACGAACAACUCUCGUCCCUUGC
This 234-nucleotide non-coding RNA is filed under the name Paenibacillus sp. Its description in RNAcentral is "T-box sequence". It matches the Rfam family "T-box leader". Rfam says of the family: Uncharged tRNA acts as the effector for transcription antitermination of genes in the T-box leader family. T-boxes are found upstream of many aminoacyl-tRNA synthetase genes and some amino acid biosynthetic genes usually in Gram-positive bacteria. The record is from RNAcentral. Lineage: Bacteria; Bacillati; Bacillota; Bacilli; Caryophanales; Paenibacillaceae.